GAGCUAUUCAGCACAUCUGCACUCACGGGGACAAAGGGCUAUUAGAUGCACUCCACGUUAUUUAUUUUGCAAUUGAGAUUUUUCUCCCCACCACCACCUAAUGGAGUUGAGCCACUUUAAAACACACACAGAGCUCAAUCAAUUUCUUUUGUAGGUUUCAAGAGAAGCUUUAUUUCAGUUCAGAAACACAGUAACAGCUGGGGAAGCUAUUCAUUCCCAAGGCAAAGAACAAAGACUUGAGAUUAUUUAUAGUGUGGGAGAAAGGGAGAGAAAAAUGGGGAGAAUGGAGAUAAUUCAGACAGGGGAGGGGGAAGUAGUGGCUGGGAUAGCCAGAUCAGCGCUAACACUCUAGUUUUGUUUUUCCCCUUCAACGGGGAAGUUUUUUUUCAGCUUUGCUUCAGUGGUCUGCUCCCCUGGCCUAUCCUUUCCUUCAGCUCAUCAUGGACCUACCUAUGCCAAAAGCCCGCCUUCUCUCUGUAGAAUCUGAAGGGCCCAUUACUGCUCCCAUCCCAGAGUCACAUUCUUACUGCCCACUAUCCAGGAGCUUCACCCUGCUCUGCAAGGAAAUACCUUCCCGACCCGAGCCUCGGUUUCUUCAGUAGACUCGGGGCAUGAUGGCGCUUACUUCACACACCUGCAAUAGCUCCAUGACAGACUCCAAAUAAAUCGGUUACUUCGUGUUCUCUGUUGUUCCUGUGGCACAGAAAACCUCAUAACUCUUCACUUUUUAGCUGAGGAGUGAAAGAAUCCACAAGUGUCUCACAACUAUGAAAGAUGGUUGCUCUGAAGACAAGACAUGGAGAACUUUCUGCCUGUCCGAAGCAGAACGGAGGUUUGCAAAGAUGUGAGAGUUUCCCUCUUCUUCCUUCAAAGAUGGUUUGUGCCUCCUCCCUUGUGGACAGCCCUUUACUCACCCAGAGACAGCACCAGAGGAAGCUGUAGUGACUCUGCUAUAUCUUCCCUUGAGCAUCUCUCCUUCAGUUUCUCCCCCCUCCCCCUCCCCCUCCCCCACUCUCUGUACACCUGGAGUCCAGAGAUCAACAUUGGAUAGCAUCUCUGAUCUCUCAACCUUAUUUUUCAAAACAGGGUCUCCUAGAACCUGCAGUUCACUGGCCCGCUAGUCUGACAGAACAGAAAUUCUCCUGUUUCUGCUUCUCCCCAGUGGCUUAAUAAGGGCACCUCUCUGCCCAA
This is a non-coding RNA of Rattus norvegicus (Norway rat), 1191 nucleotides long. The record is from RefSeq and is a predicted model, not a curated record. NCBI's taxonomy places the organism in Eukaryota, Metazoa, Chordata, Mammalia, Rodentia, Muridae.